Molecule: RNA transcript, 2510 nt
Organism: Fragaria vesca subsp. vesca
Lineage: Eukaryota; Viridiplantae; Streptophyta; Magnoliopsida; Rosales; Rosaceae
Exons: 9
Source: RefSeq, a predicted model, not a curated record
CACUCUGACUAAAAACAAUUUUUAUCUUAUGAGUUUUCCAGUAGAAUCAGAGAUCAACUCAAAACUGUAAGAAAAAGAAAGAAGGAAGAAAGAGGAAGUUUCAGCCAUCGACUAAUACAGCUAAUGGAGCAAUAAGCAUCUAUCUCCAUAUAUGUUCCUUUCCAUAAAAGUUAUUUGGUUUAGAUCUAAAGUUUGUUUUUUUUUUUUAAUAGCACAGUUUAUUUUUUUGGUCCUCUUCUGAUUCUGUUAUUUUUGUUUCCUUCAUUUCAUCAGUUGAAGUACAACAUGAAUGAGUAUAAGUAAAGAUCUUGAAUGAGUUUGUAUAUGUAAAAACUAAAAGUAACAUACCUUUACAAUUUUAGGCAACAAAUUGAUGUUAGUUGAUUUUCCAUGUUGCUUUCAGGUGGCAAUGGAGUUUUUGGAAUGAAUUGGAAUCGGUAUUUCAAAUAAAUGCUGAUGUUAUGUGAAAUCACUUAUGGGAAAAACUUCAAACUCUACUUCGUGGUACUGGCUAAAUAGUAUAAAUAGGGUGAGACAAAGGGAGCGAAGGGUCUCUGGACUACAAAUGAUCAAACAUUGAUGGUCUUUCAAAAUCUCUAAUUAAAAUGUUAGUGCUGACCGGGAAACCUCUGUCAUUUGGAAUUUUGCAGCCAAAUUGUUUAGCAGAAAGGAUGCAAGGCGAAAUCAGAUGUGCCAAGACUAGAUCAACUCUAUAGUGCUACGUACACAAGACUGUUGUCUAUUAUUGUUUUUGUAAUGGCUCCACUGACAUUAUAACAUAUGCGACUUUUAUAUUCUGAUUGUUUCCCGCAGCAACGUGCGGGCAAACAAAGCUAGUUCCUAGUACUAUACGGCCUGGCGCCGCCUUACUGUUCUGAAGAACAGUGUCAGUUGGGCUUGGGCCUGCGUCUCGCUUGGGCUUGGGCUCUUGCCAACGAAGCUCCUAGAAAAAGUGAGAGAGAAGAGCAGCGGAGGACUUGGACUCUUGAACUCUCUCUCGAUCUCUCUCGAAAGCUGUUUUGAUCUCUCUUCUUCUUCUUCUUCUUCUUCUGUUCUCUGAUUCUUCGUCUUUUUCUCUACCCUUUGCUCUCUCUUUUUCCAUCGAUCUCUCCAGUGUCUUGAAGUCUCGCCGCUUCUCUCCCACCUGAUAUUUCUCGAAUGAUCUCUCGCUCGCCGCCUCCUAAAGCUUCAGAAAAGAUCGCCGCUUCCGUUUCAUCUCUGAAGUGACCUUUACAGGUUUCCAUAGACGAAAAAGAGGUCUGAAUUUAGAAAAAAAGGAAGAGGGGAGCCCAAUACGAGAUCCAGGUAGAAAUAGUUAUGUAAUUGGGAGUUAUAUAUUGGAGUAGGUCUGGUGAAAGUGAAACAGUCAAUCACAUAACUGAUUUGGAACUCUACAUAUCACAUUUCGAGUCUACAAAGGCUGAAGAGAAAGAACAUGUUGAAGAUUCAAAGUAUAAGGUUUUGCUGCUAAAAUUGCAGAAAAUAUUGACAAGAGAAGAGAAACGGUGAAAUUCCGGCAAUUUUCCGAGCAUCACCACUUUUGGCGGCACAAGUGGCGGCGCACCACCACUUUUGGUGGUGCCAUAUAUUUUCCGGCCAAUUUCAUGGAAAAGGAAAGGUGGAGAAGUCUUGUUCAAUCACAACUAGUUCUUAACCUUUUGGUUAGGAUUCAACUCCAACACAUUUCCCUCUUUCCCACACAAUCCUCACUUCCCCCCUUUUUACCCAAAAGUCCAUCAAAGUCCCUACAAUUAUCUUCCAUGUUUUGUAGGUUGAAUCACCACAUUAUCCUACCCCUUUUCUUCAUGAUUGCCUAUUAACCUACUCUAUCUCCCCCCUCACCUUUUGCUUUGGUUUUGGAAAAGUUAUGGCAAUUUGAACACUCUUUCCUUAGUGUUUCAAACGGAUGGGAGGAGAGGAAGAAAGCUGUUUUUGGUUUUCUCUCCCACUUUUCAUCCAUCUUUAUUUAAGUCUAUCUUCUCCACUUUUUCACACACCAUCUCCCACUUCACACACUACCUCAUUUCCUCUCUCUAAUCUCCAUUAGAGAACCACCACCACUCCUCCACAAAACCUCCAUCUCCACCACCUUCAUACCAUAACCUCACUUUUCCCUUCUACCCAUCUCAUCUUAUAUACACAAAGCUUCAUCAUUUUGCCAUCCAUCCAUAUAUUCCAUCCUUUAUCAUCAAGCAAGGAGAAGGAAGAGGAGCUAGCACCAUUUGAGGACACCAUCACCAUCACCUCCAUCAUCACCAUCACAAGGAUACCAUGAGUUCAUCCCAUUCCUCCUCAACUUGAGCAUAGUCACUUUUCUUUCCUUACUCUUUAGUUUGAUGUUCAUAAUCAUAUUGAAGCUUGUAUAUUUGAUUAUGAGUGAGUAGUUAGUUUGUUGGGGCUAGGGUUGAAAGCCCUAGCCAACCUUGUAUGACAUUGAUGUAUAUAUUGUGUUUGAUGCACUUUUCAUUAGCGCCUUAAUAUGCUAGAUCAAGAGUUGAACUUCCAUGCUU